GUCAGGAGGUCAUAACACUGGGGGGUAGGUGUGUCGGGUAUUCUGUGGAUCACCUAUAGGGGAUAUAUAUCGAACCAGUGCAGAAUGAAGAUAACCCUGAUCCUCCAAACACCCUGAUCCUCCAAACACCCUGAUCCUCCAAACGUCUGAGCGCUAGGCUAAGCUAGUAGACUCGUCAUAGCGGCUGCAGAAGAAAGGAGAAGAAAGAAAAACAGCUACUACAACCUGCACAACUAUGCCUACUGACUUGAUUUCUGACGUCGGCUAUGAGAGCGUGAAAAGGCAUCAGGUUCCACGCGCACCAGGUGCUGAUAUUCGGUUGAAUAAUCAAAGAUCGAUACUCGGUGAUCGGACCAAUGUGGGGGCCAGCAGUAGUUAUGUACCUAUCGUGGAUGGUGUGAAACAGUGGACCCCUGGAUCAAACCGUCUAACCAAGAAAAA
Long non-coding RNA from Gadus morhua (Atlantic cod), 441 nucleotides. RefSeq lists it as uncharacterized. NCBI's taxonomy places the organism in Eukaryota, Metazoa, Chordata, Actinopteri, Gadiformes, Gadidae. The record is from RefSeq and is a predicted model, not a curated record. The transcript has 4 exons.